Molecule: long non-coding RNA, 454 nt
Organism: Populus euphratica (Euphrates poplar)
Lineage: Eukaryota; Viridiplantae; Streptophyta; Magnoliopsida; Malpighiales; Salicaceae
Exons: 2
Source: RefSeq, a predicted model, not a curated record
AUUAAAAUUUAUCAAUUAAGGGACCCAAUUGAUACAUUUCAAAACAUCAGGGACCGAUCUAUCAUUUGUCAUUUUCCAUGCCAAAUGACGCCGUUUUAGGAUCCUUCUGUUCAUCACCUGCUUGUUGAAGAACGGUUCAACAGGGAAGCUGGAAACUCGGCAACAAAGUUGACCCAAUCUUGACUAUGUCUUCUGCCACGAUCCCGGUCUUGGAGGAGAAGGUUUUUGAAGCUUUCUGGCCUUAUAAAAGGCAAGGAAAAAACCUAGAACUGGAGGAGGAAGAGAGCAAUUCACAGCACUCGACAGCAAGAAAAAACCGAAGAAAAAACAGAGCAGUAUCCAAGGAAAAACAGAGCAAACAAAACAGAACCCAAAAAAGAAAAUACAGAGAAGAACCGAAAAUCAACCCAAAUUUCAUCCCAGCAAGAAGAAACUAGUUUUCGUCAAAAAAAAA